This is a long non-coding RNA of Ipomoea nil (Japanese morning glory), 1396 nucleotides long. RefSeq lists it as uncharacterized. Lineage: Eukaryota; Viridiplantae; Streptophyta; Magnoliopsida; Solanales; Convolvulaceae. The record is from RefSeq and is a predicted model, not a curated record. The transcript is spliced from 4 exons.
UUCUCGUCUCCGUCGCCGACUAAGAGAAAUCAAAGCUCAGAAAUUUGAUGAAUCCAAAGCUCACAAAUUUGAUGAACCCAAAGCUCAGAAAUUUGAUGAAUCCAAAGCUCACAAAUUUGAUGAACCCAAAGCUCAGAAAUUUGGUGGGUGUUGUUCCCGUCUCCGCCGCGGACUCGCCGAUGCAGAUGUUGUUUAAUGCCUUCCCGUUCCUGAUGUUUCUGACCCAACCCGCGCGAGAUACGAGAGUAGCAGGGGAUGCCGCCGGCGGCGAAACCUUCGUCUCUCUCUUCAGCGGCAACAUAAAUGGUGAAAUUGAACCUCCGUCUCCGGUGUGGACAGCAGAUUCGGCGGACCUGGGUUUCUUCCUCCAUCUUCCUCAGCAACAACGGGCAGAUCGAUGGCGACGAUGGGAUGAACCUCCAGCAGUGGGGAUGGUUUCCGGCAGUGCAACAUCCCUUUCUGCCUUUCUUCCUCAGCAGUGGUGAUUUUCUUUUGUUGGUGGUUGGUUCUUUCUGGUCUCUUGGAGGCAGAGCUUCAUCUGAUGAGAGAAUGGAAAAUGACUUCCCCCAAAAAAGGGGAAGUCAUUUUUCGGAAAAAUGGACUCAUUUUCCAUUGACCAGAGCAAGUUUUCCUUUGACUUCUCAUUUUCCUGCCCAGCCAAACACCAAAAACCCAAAAAAUGAUUUCCAAACACCCUAAAUAGUUUGGUGGUUAUGUGAAUUUGGCUUGAUUUUCAUUGCAGAUGGCAUUCUGCUGGAACUUAUGAUGUCUCGACCAAGACUGGAGGUCCAUGAGGCUCAAGGCUGAGCAAGCUCAUGGUGCCAAUAAUGGUCUUGACAUUGCAGUUAGGUUGUUGGAGCCAUUAAAGGAGUAGUUCCCUAUUGUCUCUUAUGCAGAUCUUUAUCAGGAUCAGACAGAGCUCCCAGUUGAAUGUCAUCUUCCUGAUGCUACCGUGCAAGGAAAUGAUCACCUAAGGGAUGUGUUUGCUAAACGCAUGAGACUCUCUACAAAGGAUAUUGUUGCUCUCUCUGGUGGCCAUAACCUGGGAAGGUGAGACAAGGAGUGGUCUGGAUUUGAAAGCCCUUGGACUACCAACCCGCUCAUCUUCGAUAACUCUUACUUUGGCUCGCUCUAUCUAAAAGAUAUGCACAUGCUUUUUUUUGUGGCUAUCAUAUGAUUUGUUUGUUUGUUUGUGUAUGUUGCAAUCAGAGAGCUUCUGAGUGGUGAGACAGAAGGGCUUCUACUAUUGCCCACUGGCAGGGAACUAUACUUCUUAAUGAUCCCGCUUUCCGCCCACUAGUUGAUAGUAUAAGUAUAUUGUGUUUGUGUUGAUUAUUAAUUGUGAAGUAUAUAUAAUUAUGUUUGACUAGUUGAUAGUAUAAGUAUAUUGUGUUUG